UACGUAGGGUGCAAGCGUUGUCCGGAAUUAUUGGGCGUAAAGAGCUUGUAGGCGGUUUGUCGCGUCUGCUGUGAAAUUUCGGGGCUCAACCCCGAACUUGCAGUGGGUACGGGCAGACUAGAGUGUGAUAGGGGAGACUGGAAUUCCUGGUGUAGCGGUGAAAUGCGCAGAUAUCAGGAGGAACACCGAUGGCGAAGGCAGGUCUCUGGGCCAUAACUGACGCUGAGAAGCGAAAGCAUGGGGAGCGAACAGG
RNAcentral lists this ribosomal RNA (253 nucleotides) under uncultured bacterium. RNAcentral describes it as "partial 16S ribosomal RNA". It matches the Rfam family "Bacterial small subunit ribosomal RNA", at positions 524 to 776 of the family's 1533-position model. The record is from RNAcentral.